AAACGACUCUCGGCAACGGAUAUCCCGGCUCUCGCAUCGAUGAAGAACGUAGCGAAAUGCGAUACUUGGUGUGAAUUGCAGAAUCCCGUGAACCAUCGAGUCUUUGAACGCAAGUUGCGCCCGAAGCCAGUAGGCCGAGGGCACGUCUGCCUGGGCGUCACAC
RNAcentral lists this ribosomal RNA (163 nucleotides) under Chamaesium paradoxum. RNAcentral's name for it is "5.8S ribosomal RNA". It matches the Rfam family "5.8S ribosomal RNA". From Rfam's summary of the family: 5.8S ribosomal RNA (5.8S rRNA) is a component of the large subunit of the eukaryotic ribosome. It is transcribed by RNA polymerase I as part of the 45S precursor that also contains 18S and 28S rRNA. Lineage: Eukaryota; Viridiplantae; Streptophyta; Magnoliopsida; Apiales; Apiaceae. RNAcentral also lists the same sequence under 1 other name. The record is from RNAcentral.